AGUUCGGAUUGAAGGCUGAAAUUCGCCUUCAUGAAGCCGGAAUUGCUAGUAAUGGCAGGUCAGCAUACUGCCGUGAAUACGUUCCCGGGCCCUUGUACACACCGCCCGUCACACCAUGAGAGUUGGGAAUACCCGAAGCCUGUGAGCUAACUAAUAGAGGCAGCAGUCGAAGGUAGAAUCAAUGAUUGGGGUGAAGUCGUAACAAGGUAUC
This 211-nucleotide ribosomal RNA is filed under the name uncultured bacterium. RNAcentral describes it as "partial 16S ribosomal RNA". It matches the Rfam family "Bacterial small subunit ribosomal RNA", at positions 1290 to 1500 of the family's 1533-position model. The record is from RNAcentral.